AUAUUUUUGGUCAAGAGUGGCUUUAGAUGGCCUUUUCCCACAUGGAUAGGUGAAUGUCAUCAGGCUUCUGCUGGUUCAUGUCUCGGCUUUAGAACCUGCUGCUCCUUAGGAAGUUAAAGCUCUGGUUAGCACAUGAAAUCUUUUUUUUUCCCUAAUUUGUAUGUUUAUGUAGAUAAACAUACUUGCAUAGUUGACAAUGAUGACAAGGUAUGGAAAAUCAUUUUUGAGAUAACUAGUUUCUUUCUUGAGAUAACAAGGUAUGGAAAAUCAUAUUGAAGUAAGAAGUAGAAAUUAGUUAGGAAUUGAAUGAGAACUGAACUAAAUACAACUCUUGGUUCGACAUCAGUUGUCUUCACCUAUUACCACCGCAUUCAGCAUAUACAAACCAUUGAAGGCAUCCAGUUCUUGGCGCUUAAAAGGUCAAUUAAUCCGAUGCUGACGCUUAGGAAAAUUUCGAAUAGCUUUCACUUUAAGCAAUACUAUAAGUUCCUUCAUUUUUCUGCCGUCCGCUUUUACUGUAUUGAUCUUCUUUUAAUUAUUUACAGAUUGUCUAGCUAAGUUAAGAUAUGGAGGUUUAUUUGUAAAGUUUUGAGUGCUUUACUGGCAUAAGCUUUAUGCUAUUAAACGUUUUGAUUAAAGAUAUACUUAUUUAUUGCUAUUUAAUUUAAUAAAAGACUGAAAUUUGCGACAAAAAUGUUUUAAGGGUUUAAGUUAUAGAAUUUUGAGAUAAAAUUAUCUUUUACUUAUCACCAAUGUAUUGGAAGACUUUAUAUGCUGUCUAGCUUCUUUCAUGUUAAAUUGUUGCAAAAACUUAUAAGCUUUCUAAUUACCCAGCUUUGGCUUUUCAUCCUAUUCAAACAUGUUUCCAACAAUAUUAAUCUCAGAGAGCUUACGAACUCUUUUAUAAACUUUUCUUAGCCAAAAAAUAAUUUAUGUCAAACACUGUACUAGCCAUUUAAGUAUCUUUCUGCACUUCUAGGAUGUUGAAGAGGCUAGUGUUAGGCAAAAGAGCUUUUCUUGGACAUGAUUUGGUGAAAAACCUUAAGUGAUUAGAGCUGUAACUCUCCAACCGUAAUGUAAAUGCUUUCUUUAGCUGGGCCAUUUUAUGCAUCUUUUAGAAUGUAGCAUGCGCAUUAGUCCUGCAUAAUUGCUUGUGAAGAAAAAGAUAUUUAGGAUCUAAUUGAUCUAUUCAUAAGCUAAUGACUUAAUCUCUCUUAAUUUGUGAUUGAUAAUCGCAUGUAUGCAUGACAGUGCACUGUAUUAAUCUGAAUGUCUUAAUGUUCCCCUUUCUAUUGUAGCACGGUGGUGAUCAGUGGUAUGACUUUGAUGAUAGCCAUGUCUAUCCGAUCGGCCAGGAAAAGAUAAAAACUUCAGCUGCUUAUGUUCUUUUCUACAGAAGAGUUGCGGAGGUAUAACAUUAGAUUAGCAUUGUCAAUUUCUGAAGAACUACGUCGAGAUUGACUUAUUAACAGUUUUGCAAUCUUAGACCUAAAAUUCUUUCGAGUCCAUUAUUAACUAUUAACUGUAUCAUGGUGGGAGCUAAAGCAGUAAGACCAUAAAGAGGAGAAUAUUUUUAGUGAAUUUAAGAAGAAAACACAUGUAACUAACUGCUAGAGGAAGAAUGUUUAGCUUUUUAUUAGAACAUAGGAAUUUUUUCUAAGAAGGGGUUUGCUUUCAGUGUCCACUCAAAUGUAUGUUGUACAACUGAGUGUAGAUUGAAUCAUUUGAUCAGCAAUUUUGCUUCUAUCUGGAUGUGCUGUCUCAAAUUCAGAAUUUUGUUUUAAUGCUUCUAUAUUUUCUGAGUAGCUUGAGCUCGUAAACAUUCUAUAUAUUCCUGGGACAAAUUGAGCAAAGAUUUUAAUCCAUUGUAAAGCUUUUAUAAUUCAGUCUUAUGGCUGUUUGUGGAUGGAAUUCUUCUGCACGCAUGGAAUGUGUAUGUCAAUGUCAUCCCCCAGGGCUUAAACUGUGUAAAACAACAGCAAGGUCUGGUAAAUACUAUGUUUUCCUUAGCUUUGAGUAAUUUUUGGAUAUUUAUUUCGCCGAGCAUGAUAAAACAAGGUUCUUCAAUAUAUGGAUCUUCAUUUAUGUGAAAGAAUUUGCGGCUUGUACUGUUUUCUUAUUGUGAGGUUGCUGGAUCUUCCUACAUAUCUGAUUUGUGUUAAUGUACUGACACAGUCCGAGUUAUAUAAGAAAGAGGGUGCAGUGCAGCAUAAGGUGAUUUCGCUAAGUAAGUUAUCAAAACUAUACCUUCAUCGCUGUUGAACUUGCUCAAAAUGGUUGUUGAAGUCUGUCUCGGACCCUUGAAGAAAUCCGAUUGUGAUGAAUUCAGUUUCCUGUCGAAGUUACUCUGGAAUUAUCUCCUAGCAUGCAUGGUCCGAAGUUGGCAGGACGAUUUAUCAGGUAGAAAAUAGAAAAUUUCGUCCAAUUUACAUGGAGAUUUCUUUCAGCAACCACAUAAAAGUGAAUGCAGAAUUAGGUCUCAGGAGCUUUUACAAUGCUCUGUUGCACAGAUUAUCGAGAAAUUUGUCUCCUCCUCCGAACUUGGAAAAGAAAGAGAAAAAUUAGCCGACGAUUCUAGGUUUCGACAACCAUCAUGUUACUGAAAAAUACAGAAGGGAAACACAGAAUUAGGUGAGAGAGGAGCAGAGAGAGGAGACAGCAAAGAGAGGGUUUUUUUUUUUUUUUCUCUCUAAUUUCAUUCACUAACAGUUCUUAUCCUUUUAUAGCCCUAGCUUAUAAUGAACCUACACAAUCUUUCACAUCAUCUUUACAUAUAGCAACACUCCUGUAAAAAUUAC
This 2798-nucleotide long non-coding RNA is filed under the name Carica papaya (papaya). Its description in RNAcentral is "long non-coding RNA (CPAP_LNC006702)". Lineage: Eukaryota; Viridiplantae; Streptophyta; Magnoliopsida; Brassicales; Caricaceae. The record is from RNAcentral.